Molecule: long non-coding RNA, 2413 nt
Organism: Mesocricetus auratus (golden hamster)
Lineage: Eukaryota; Metazoa; Chordata; Mammalia; Rodentia; Cricetidae
Exons: 3
Source: RefSeq, a predicted model, not a curated record
ACACUGCCAAGGAAAAGGUUAUAUACUCUUUUCGAGUCUUUGGUUUACUUUUGACAUGGCAAAUGUUGGUGUAUUUUUGCCAUCUCAGCAUUCACGAGGCUGAGAGACAAGGGGAUUGUGAGUUCCAGUCCAGCUUGGGCUACAUAACAAGACCCUUUCUCAAAAAUAAAACCAAAACACCAUUAUUUAAGUAAAAUAUGCUCACAGAAAUAUUCGGCAGUCAUUAGCCACUCAGGGGACAUAGGUUUCGGAACACAUGGCCAGUGAUUCCUUGUAAGUUUGUCUAUACUUCUCCCCCGAAAUUAACCCCUCUACUCCCGUGUAGCACGAUUGGUUAAUUUUCACCUGUUUCUGGGUGAUAUACAAAUGAAAGUACUCAGUAUAUAUGAUUUUAAAUUUUUAAAAAUUACUGUGACAAAUGUAUUUGACAUAAGAAUUUACCAUUUCUCUAUUUUGAGCAUAUAGUUGGAUGGUACCAGUGUACCACCUGUCAAGCAACACUUCUCCAUUCUCUCUCCUUUUAGUCUCUGACCACUGCCCUUCUACUUUGUAUGAUUUUUGGAUAUUUUAACCACACUGUAUAUGCAGAGUCAUGCAUUUGUCCUUUGGUGACUGUUUUGUUUCACUUAGUAUAAUAUCUCCAAGGCUGCAGCAUGUAUAAGGAUGACUAAUAUGCCUUUGGCUGUCACACACUUCAUUUACACACGUGUUAGUGCAUGCCUCCAUGCUUUAACUGUUACAGUACCGCAAUGUACAUGUACAAAUAGCUUUUCAUGACUCUGGUUUCAGUUCUUUUUCCUAGACACCCCAAAACAGAAUUGCUGCAUCAUAUAGUAAUUCUGUUUGUAAAUUUUAAAAACCAGACCCUCACACAUAUGUGAAGGGGCCUUGGAAUUGGUAGAGAAUACACACAACCAAAUUCUCAGCACAAAGGAGAGUUAUUACCCAAGAGCAGGGGGGCGGUGACUGCCUUUGAAUGAGGCACAAACAGCAACAGAUGUGGCUGCAGAAGUGGUUUGUAAGGAGAAAAAAGGGGAAGACUGUGUUAGAGUGAGUUGGUAAGUCCUGAUUGAAUGUGUUGGCCAGUAUAGUCAAAUGAUAAAUUUUAAUUGCUGGACCUCGGUGUUUUCAUAACUAGACCCUGGAGUUUUAGUCAGGCAUAAGAAAGUAGCCAAAUAAGGGAAUAGACUUUGGUGUCUAGCUUUAGGAUUGUAAUCUAAUGGGUUAGCAUCAGAGGCAGCAGGCCAGAGGGCAAGGCUUGCCAUGCUCAGGCCCGCUGGAGAGUGCUGCAGUAGGGUCAGAUGAUCCAGGGCAGUGGUACCAAAACUAGUCAGUAGGGAAAGGAAAUGUCUUCUGAACGGAUGGUGAUGGGAAAUACUCAAGAGCGGGAGGCAGAACUCUCACCUAACAUACAUGCACGCACGCGUGCACGCACACACACACACACACACACACACACACACACACACACACACACUGACUUGAGAGAACCAUCCAGUGUUUAGAAGGAAAUAUGGAAGAAAAGCUCAUGCUGUUGGAUUCAACAGGGUCAAAACGCACAGUGUUGAGCAACGCAUGUUAAGAUGCUCAUCACUCGUGGUCAUUGACGAUGUGAAGAACAAAACUCAAGGAGAUACCACUUCUCGCCCAUUCGGAAGUCUCCUGUUAAGACCAAAAGUAAAUGACGUUGAGAGAGAGGAGAAGCUGGACCUCACAUGCCCCGCAGUAGAGAUAGAAGAUGCUGCAGCCUCUGCGGCCCCGGUUAAAUGUAUAUGUGAGUUACUAUUUUAAAUCAAGAGAAGCCAGUCAGCCUAACUGAGGAGUUUCAGGCCAGACAUGAGAUGUGUCAUUCAGGCUCCUUACAGACAGCUUUCUUCAAGUAUACCUCACAGAGCUGGGCAUUGGUGGCGCACGCCUUUAAUCCCAGCACUCAGGAGGCAGAGGCAGGCGGAUCUCUGUGAGUUCACGGCCAGUCUGGUCUACAGAGCGAGUUCCAGGACAACCUCCAAAGCUACAGAGAAACCUUGUCUCAAAAAAACUAAAAGCAAAAGGAUACCUCACAGCUAUUUCCGUGUCAGCACCGUGGCUCCUGCUUAGCCUUCAAGAAGCUACACAGCACAAGGCAGCCACUCCAGACUUCAGCCUCCACUGUCACAGUGUGGGGCCACUUUUGAAUAUUUUUGUCACUAUAGCCACUAAUGGCAAAAAAUCAUAACACUUAAGUAUUUAGUAUUAACUGGUGUAUUUACACUUCAACUUGAAAUUAAUUUCCAAUACAAAGACACAAAAACGUUAGUGAUUCAAGAAAAAUUGUGCAAUCUGGUAUUGCUGUCAAUAGAAUACAAAGCGUGUGAGAAAGUUGAUUACCACUCCCGAACAGAGUUUAUGAUGAAAUGGGGCCAAUAAAAAUGAU